UUUCAAAACAAAAUCGCGAUGAAUAAACUCUUUAGACUCCCCGCCGGAUGAAAGCCAUUUCCCACUCAGAUUGAGGUCUCUUUUAAUCAACACCUGUAGGUCAUUAUAGCCUCCCUUCCAAAAUAAUUCGCUUUCUUGAAUGUAUAAAGCAGAUUUUAAUCUUUUCUCGUCAUUAACGCCGUUUAGUUGUUGUGAAUUUGAAGAAGAUGUGGAGCGCUUUGAAUUGUGACUAGUCGCAUGUUUGUUGUUGUGGACAUUAUGUUGAAAAUAAAUUUUUGUCCCUCGUGUCCUUCCGUUUCAGGAACCUCUUUAUGAAGCUGAAAACUUAUUUCGCAAAAAUUUUUGGACUUUGAUGAUUUUACUGAAUUUUACGAAGAUAUGAACCUGCGUAGUUGCUAG
Paramuricea clavata is the source of this 399-nucleotide non-coding RNA. The record is from the annotation of a GenBank genome assembly. Lineage: Eukaryota; Metazoa; Cnidaria; Anthozoa; Malacalcyonacea; Plexauridae.